RNAcentral lists this transfer RNA (60 nucleotides) under human gut metagenome. It matches the Rfam family "tRNA", at positions 8 to 63 of the family's 71-position model. From Rfam's summary of the family: Transfer RNA (tRNA) molecules are approximately 80 nucleotides in length. Their secondary structure includes four short double-helical elements and three loops (D, anti-codon, and T loops). The record is from RNAcentral. RNAcentral also lists the same sequence under 3 other names.
GUUAGCUCAGUUGGUAGAGCGCUCGGCUGUUAACCGAUAGGUCGUUGGUUCGAGUCCAAC